CCUACGGGUGGCAGCAGUGAGGAAUAUUGGUCAAUGGCCGGAAGGCUGAACCAGCCAAGCCGCGUGAAGGACGAAGGUGCAAAGCAGGGUAAACUUCUUUUGUCAAGGGACAAAAUCAGGCGCGAGAGCCUGACCGAGGGUACUUGAAGAAAAAGCAUCGGCUAACUCCGUGCCAGCAGCCGCGGUAAUACGGAGGAUGCGAGCGUUCUCCGGAUUUAUUGGGUGUAAAGGGUGCGUAGGCGGGCUGUUAAGUCAGCGGUAAAAGCCCGGGGCUCACCCCCGGCGAGCCGUUGAAACUGGCUGUCUUGAGCUGUCUAGAGGUAUGCGGCAUGCGCCUUGUAGCGG
Molecule: ribosomal RNA, 345 nt
Filed under: uncultured bacterium
Lineage: Bacteria
Description: partial 16S ribosomal RNA
Rfam family: Bacterial small subunit ribosomal RNA
Source: RNAcentral